GCUAUUGAGUUAGCUGCAGGGUUAAGUGAGGCAUCUCUCUAACAAGGAAAAGCAUUGUGACCCAGAGUAUUCUUAGUGAUUGAAAGGGCUGGGAUAAAUCAAAACACAAUUUUUUUUUUUUUAAAGUAAGAAAACACUAGCUGACAAAGGAGGAACAAAAUUGCAAAUGUUUCUUCAUUCAUUUAUAAUAGUGGACCAGUUGCCUCUGCUUCAUCUCUAUCAGCUACUCUCCCCAGCCUCCCAAAACCUGAAGUUAGAGGAAGUGGAAGGCAGGGAGAUAUUUUGAACAAAAUUGCUUCCUUGAACUUUGUUUAAAAGUGUUAGAAGUGAAGACUAAAAGAGGAGUUUAGUCACUGUUCUCACUUCAGGUAUCCAAGGCCAGAAAUUAAACCUGCUCUUGGAGAGGGGAGAAAAUAAGGUUGAGUGUGAGAUUUUAUGUUUAAACUCAACUGAAGCUUAAUAACUAAGUGACCAGAAAUCAGUGGAAUCUGCUAACGAUGUCAUUAAAGGUUUUGAAAAGGAGCAUUACAGAAUAUUUAAGGUCAUUUUUGAUAAAAAAUGCAUUGAUUAGAAUUUAUUUCAACUGAAUUUAUUUGCUCAGGAAGUCAAUGUUGUAUUUAAUGUUCUAAAAGGAGUUUCCAAUAUAAAACAAAUGCUAAACAUAUCCUUUUGUUUGUUAUAGCAUUACAAGUAUUGUGUGUGUGUGUGUGUAUUUUGUCUUUUUUUACUCAGUUUAAUGAUUUAUACCAUUUCAUAAAUCUGUCCCAGUCUAAGUUAUCAAAUGUGUUGACAUAAGUUUGUUAAUUUUUCUAUAUUUCUUUUAAUUUAUGUUGAAUUGGUAUUUGUCACAUUGGCUGCUCAUAUCCAUAUUUCAAAAUCUCUGCGUUUCCUAUCACUACUGUAACAAAUUACCAUAAUUUAAUGGCUCAAAACAGUAUCAAUUUAUUACCUUAUGGCUCUAGAAGUCAGAAUUCCUAAAAUCAAGUGUCAGCGGGCUGUACCCCUUCUUGAGGUUCAAAAGCGUACCUGAGUUCAUGCCUUUUUUAGCUCCUAGAGGUUACCUGCAUACCUUGGUUUUUGAACUCUUCUUCAUGGCCGGCAAUAUAGCACCUUCAAUAUCUUUCUCUUUCUCUCCCAUCUCUCUCUUACCUCUGCUUCUGUUGUUGAUCUCCUUCUCUAAUUCAGACCCUUCUUUCUUCCUUUUAGGAUUCUUGACUAUACAAGGCUACCCAGAUAAUCCAACAUAAUCUUUCAAUCUUAAUGUCCUUAAAUUAAUCACUUUUGCAAGGUGUCUUUUCUUAUUCAAUAUCUUGCAAUAACCUACAAUGGAGAAUAACCUAAAAUUUAUAUAUAUUUGCUGUUUGCCUGACACUCUUAUAACAUUGUAAGUUAACUAUAUUUCAAUAAAAUUGUAAAGAAAUAAAAAAGAAAAGCAUAGCACUGGGAUACAAAAGAAAAAAAAGUAAAAGCCUAUUAGACAUUCAGAAAAAAAAAGAAAGAAAGGUAUGGAACUGAGUAAUGAGUUAGAGAACAGGUCUUACAUCUUCAGUAGAAACUUGAAUAUUUAAUGAGUAGGGGAGGAUAGGUUUCAAAGAAAAUUGAGAAAAAAUAUGUGGAGCGGUAAAAUACGGGAAGCUGUAUAUGACAGGCAAAAUCACUGUAGGCCUCAUAUCUCUGCCCCAUUGUUACUCCUAUUGUUACGUGUCACCAUAAGGCAGAAGUAAUGGAUGAGAGUCUCUUGUUUACAUUAUCUUAUAUAUCAAAAUGGAAAGAAUUUUUCAGAUAUGAUAAGUGUUCUUCAUAAUCUGUUAACUAUAUGAAAUCAAAAGGGAAAUUAUUCUGGGUGGUCCUGGCCUCAUCAUGAGAAUACUGCAAAAGGGACCCAUUUAACUGAUGGCCUCAAAGAAGCAAGCAGCCAUAUAAUGAAUUGCUUAUGGAAAAGAGCAGCCUUUGGGAGCUAAGGGCCUCAGUCCUAUACCAACAAAGAAACUAAUUCUGCCAACAACCUAGAAACUUAUUUAGAGCUUCAAAAAGGAGCUCUAGAUGAUGAGCUCCUGAUGAUGACACACUCUUAUCCACAACUUGACAGACUACAGACAGUUGGCGAGAGAUGAUUUAUUUUAAGCUUGUCAAUAUUUUUCUUUUUCUUUUCUUUUUUAACACAAGAGGGCUGGAAAUGUUUAAAGCCUCUUUAAAGAUUUAAUUGAGGAGAGACCAAAGAGUAAGGUGAUUCCCACAAGAGCUUCAAUUCCAUCUUAAAUCUUUUCUUAUUAGAGCUAACAUUUUCAGUGAUUAUUCACUUAAAUGUAAGCCUCUGAGCAUAAAAUUUUAAAAAUAUAAAAUAAGCUUCUAUUUAUCUUUCUUAUAGGAAAGUGUGAUUUUAUAUACUUUUGCAUUUGAUACAUUUACAAGAACCAAAUUUUGUUUAAAUGUCUAUCAUGAUGAAUUAGUUUUUUAAUCUUUUAUUUGUAGCUCUUUCAACUGAUGAUAUCACAAAAAUGAUGCAUUGCCCUGUAUCCAGGGUGAUCUGAAAUACAUUUUUAGAAAUUCAAAUAUUUUAAUCAAUGCAUGAUACAUUUUUUCUCUCAGCUAUUGGUAACUCUGAUAAAGGGAAAAAACUUACUCGAAGCAAUUACUUAUUUUUGAAAAGAGGAAUGUGUAAAGUAUAAUUCCUAAGGAAUUUAUCAUAUAUUCAAUAGCAAGCAUUUGGACAUUAGUAACAUGACAAGGCAAUUACCUAUAUGUUAAGAGUUAUUUAAGGUAUUACGAGAUUAAAAUACACUUUUAUACACUGAACCUACAGGCCUCAAGUAUUUAAAUUUCACAUGUAAUGAGAAAUAUAUUUUGAGCCUUCAAGCAUAUUUUCCCUCUGGUAAUUACUUGUAUAAAAAAUAAUCAUUUGCAUGACAGGAAUUUCUGUAUCCUGUAAUAUAUGGUGAUUUGUAAUAAUUUAGAAAUUUACUGUAGUCAUAAGAAUAAAAUAAUGACAUUUGGUAUUUUUGUUAUAAUAAAUAUCUAUGUUUAUAUAAAAGAGAAUUAAAAAAAGAAAGAUAAUUCCUAGAAUUUCAUCUUAUCAAAGUGAUAUUAUGGGAAGGAAUGUGAAUAAUCUUUAUAAAUGUGUGCUAAUACACAUGCAUAUUAAGUAACUAGAGAAAACUUUGUGAAAUAAACUUACUUAAAAAAUAUAAAAUAAAACUUGAAAAAUACAUAGAGCUGUUGUGUGAGCUUAUAAAGAUACUGGGAUAGAAUGGACAAUGACUAUUGCUUUAAUGUUUUUUUUUUUUUUUUAAUUUUAGGCUUCACAUAAUGUCACUAGAAAUCUGAUAUGUUUCUUCCACCUAAUUAAUUGUUAGGUGUCAUGUAUCUUUCUUAUUAAAAAUUCUAGUGUUUUGCAUAUCAGCAGAAUAUGAAAAAAGUUAUGCCUCACUGUACUGUUUAAUGUUACAUGCCAUAAACUCCGAAAAGAGGGUUGGAACGUACCCUUAUCAUGAUAUUUGUUGAAGUAGGAAAUAUUACAAAAUAAGACCCAAUAAGGGACAUGUCACAGUUUGAUGUCAUUAAUAUUCAGAUAAACAUAAGCAGAAAUAUUCUUGGAACUGACUGAAGAUGCUUAUUCCACAGCUUAUUAUGUGGAAUAAGCACAAUGGGCUCCCAAAGACAUAUUCUUAAGUUGCUGGGGUUUCUUUUGCUUUUUUUUUUUAAUGAAAUGAAUGCUUACUGUGGUAUAUGGCAUGAACCAGUGGGGACCUGCUGUACAGCACAGGGAACUCUACCCAUUAGUCUGUGAUAAUCUAUAUGGGAAAAGAAUCUGAAAAAGAAUGGAUAUUUGUACAUGUAUAACUGAAUCACUUUGUUGUACAGCAGAAAUUAUCACAACAUUGUAAGUCAACUCUACUUCAAUAAAGCUUUAAAAAAUGAAAAAAAUAAAUAAAAUGAAUGGUGAAGUGUCCCUCAAGUUAUGUGAGAGUCAGAACGACCUAUAUAUGAUUAUUAAUACUUUUUAACACACCCACACACAGCAACUGGUUAAGCUGGUUUCCGCAGAGAUAGGUCUAUCUAAUAUCAGGCUUUAAUAUGAGGGUUAAUUCUAGUUUAUUAGAAUCCCUAGAAAUAAAGAAAUAUUUUAAAUUCAAGCAAUUAUAAUCCAUGAGUUGUAGCAGAGCUACCACUAGAAAUACAAAAAUAUGAUUUUCAAAAUUUCAGAACUUUUUAUAGCAAAACUACAGUUAUUAGUAAUAAAAUAUCAGUUAUUAGUAAUAAAAUAAAGCACAAAAUUAUUACAGAUAUGGAAUUUGUUAAUUUAUCUAGUGUCCUUAUCUUUUGUCAAUAUAAAUACCAGAUGCUCCAUUGUGUUUAGUCAAUAUAUUUAUUUUUAGUAUAUGCAAUAAAAAAGAAAACUUUUUUUUAUAUUGAUGUCACUAUUUACAGAUGAAUGAUAAAGGUGUGGACUUGGUCUGGCUGGCUGGGAAUGAGUCAGCAUUCUUACCAGCUGGUGACCUUGAAUUAGAAAAUCUCUCAUUGUCUCAGUUUUUUAAAUGUUAAGUUGGAUAUAAUGAUAGUGUAUAAUUUACAGAAUUGUUGUGAGUAACGAAUGCUUUAAUAUAUGUGAAGUACUUAGAACUGAGCCUGGAAGGUACUGAGUGCUUUAAAGAUAUUGGCUCCAAGUAACAAGGCUAGUGAAAGUAUUUCCUUCCUUAGGCAAUAAAGAAUGCUUUAUCCACAUUUGAAUUGUCUAAGUAUUCUCCAUGUCAUGAUCACAGAUGCAUAAAUUAAAAAUUAAAAAUAUUUAAGAAGUACCUAAGAUAUACUAGAUUCAGAUUUGAGAGGUGAAAAGCUUUCAAAACUAUUAAUAUUUUUGGACUGGCAAACCAUGAUUUUCCUGUAUCUAUUCAACAUUAAUUAUGUGGAACUUUAUUUCUG
RNAcentral lists this long non-coding RNA (4920 nucleotides) under Sus scrofa (pig). RNAcentral's name for it is "lncRNA (ENSSSCG00000059031.1)". Lineage: Eukaryota; Metazoa; Chordata; Mammalia; Artiodactyla; Suidae. The record is from RNAcentral.